GAUUCGUGAGAUCAAUGAAGGCCGUUACGAGUUUAAUGUUGUCCUUUAUCCUAAUGUUACAAACACAAUGAAGGACAUGGUAUUGGAAAUAGUAUUGUGAUAGAAUACAACAAAGAAUCAGUACCAGUUAUUGUUUUAGAAAAUUUAAUUAGUAAAAUAAAUUAUAACUCAGAAGAUUCAAAGCAUUUUAACAUAGAAGAAGGAUUGUACAGCAUUGAUUGUUUUAUUAAUGAGAGGUACAUCAAGAGUUGAAUUGGAAUGCAAUCAGAAACUUCUGAACAUGAGUGAUGAAUGAGAAUAUUGCACGAUAUCAAGGACACAAAACAGCUUACGUUGUAUUUGUACGGCAUUACACCAGAGGGUACUUUACAGAAAUAAUACAACAGAAAUUCUAAUUAAUGUUUUGUAUAAGCCAACAAUUAAGAGUUUUCCUGGUAAAUGGCGAAGAUGUGAAGACUUUAACUGUCAAUAAAUCUGAUGUACUAAACUUAACAUGCGAGGG
Molecule: long non-coding RNA, 502 nt
Organism: Physella acuta
Lineage: Eukaryota; Metazoa; Mollusca; Gastropoda; Physidae
Source: RefSeq, a predicted model, not a curated record